GGAAACAUGAUCAUAACAGCUCACUGUAGUGGUUAUAGUGCAGAGGUAUUUCCCUGUGUUGAUAAUCUAUGCUACAAGCCAAUCCACGUAACACAUUUCCAUGUUAAUGCCAUAAACCUCUCACAAAAGUUAUAGUCCCCCAAGCAAUUAUCCAGCAUCAUUUUGCCCUAGUAUUGUCACAUUGUCCAUAAUAUCUUUGUACCCAUAUGUGUCAC
Pelobates cultripes (western spadefoot toad) is the source of this 215-nucleotide non-coding RNA. The record is from the annotation of a GenBank genome assembly. Lineage: Eukaryota; Metazoa; Chordata; Amphibia; Anura; Pelobatidae.